Long non-coding RNA from Oryzias latipes (Japanese medaka), 1642 nucleotides. RefSeq lists it as uncharacterized. The record is from RefSeq and is a predicted model, not a curated record. NCBI's taxonomy places the organism in Eukaryota, Metazoa, Chordata, Actinopteri, Beloniformes, Adrianichthyidae.
UGCGACUCUGGCCUACAAUUCAGAGAAUUCUUCCACCAUCUGCCUGAUCCUCGUCUCUCGAAUGUCUCUGAAAAACGUCUGCAAAUGAGAUUUGAGCUUUUGAACCUCCUAUAAUGGCAACUGGACGUGGACAGACGAGGAUAAAAACAAGGACAAAGGGGAGGCAAAGAGCAUGGCAAAAAAGAGAGAAGGCAGAAGAUGGAGAGGAUCAGGGGAGAGAAGGAGAGACAAUUGUGUUAAUCCAGCGAUGGAAGAGAAAACUAAAAAUAUCAGAGGAGACUGGAAGGAGACCUGUCCCCAGGGGGCACUGUUUGUCCUUGCAGCAGAACUAAAACACAGUGAGGAUAACAGGAAAACAUCAGUGAUAAGCAGUGAUUUUGCUCUAACAGUGAGUUUGUUUCCUGUUGUCAGACCGUCAACACUCUGGGUGAAAUGUCACGAUCUAACUUUCAUUUCAUCUGACGUUGGCAUCGAUGACAUCACAGGAAAGUCAAAUCACAUCUUUACGUCAAAACACGAGUGUUGAGAAACACUAUUGUUAUGCCGGACGAUGAGAACUUUUCUUCGGGAGACAUGUCCAAUACUGAAUGAACAAACAUGUUUUCUUAUUUUUACUGCUCUUUUUGGGUUUUACAAACCUUUCUGGCUCUAAUCCAAUUUCAUAUCUGCAAAGGAAAGGAGCCAUGUGUGUAAAAAAGUUUUACAGUAGUUUAUUUUACCAAUGGAUAAAACAUAACAACAGAACUCUUUUCACUUCAAGACUAUUCCGGUUUAGUCAAACUGGUUUAAAGCCACUUAUUUUUGUUAACUAGUGCAACAUUAACAACAACAACAAAAACCUUCAUUCCAGACUAAAUACUAAGGGAGCUUAAGCAUUAGGUAUUGUCAUUUUCAGUGCACAGGUUUGAACAAAAACAAAAGUAGGGUGAAUAAAACUUCUAUUCCAGCAUAACGGCACACAUUGAACUGAUUUUUGUUCCUUCCCAGGUUCAGUUAAGCCCUUAAACCAACACUGCAAACCUUAUUGACCCACUCGUCUUCACUUUCACUUAUGGGUGUAUGCUUUUCUUUUUCAAUGACAUUCCAGCUCACCAGUAAUAAAUCCAAAGCCUGCAUCCUAAAUGAUGAUGCACCCACUACCGUGCUUCAUACGUUGUCACUCUCUGUUCUGCUUCCACUUUCCUGAAGGGAAUGUUUUUGAAAGCAGCAGAACUUAUGACACACUGUUUUUAACAAGGCCUCUUCUACACUCUUUGAAAGACAUUUUUCAAAAACAAAGUCCGAGAAACACUUUGUGGAGUUAAUUUUGUUUAUACUCUUUUGUUGUUGAUUCGGGAAAAUUAACACCAAGAAAGUUUUUCUGAGUGAGCAGAGUUUCCAACAACUGCUACCUUAUGGAGCUCUAGCCCUGCACACAAUGAUUUUCUGGUUUAAAUCGAUAAUUACAUUUGAUUAGGAUUGUUGUUUACAAAAUUAGCUUAUACAUUUUUUGUUCCUCUCUCUCUCUUCUCGAGCCGUUGAGUGUCUACAUGUGUGUUCGGGUAUAUCUAGAUGGGUGUGUACAUGCAUGUACCAUAAUUGUAUUCAUUUAUAACUUCAGGCUUCAUACAUGGUUUAAAUAAAUAAAAGCAAAAAGAAAAGU